UGGGGAAUAUUGGGCAAUGGGCGAAAGCCUGACCCAGCAACGCCGCGUGAGUGAUGAAGGCCUUCGGGUUGUAAAACUCUUUGGCCAGGGACGAAGAAAGUGACGGUACCUGUAGAACAAGCCACGGCUAACUACGUGCCAGCAGCCGCGGUAAUACGUAGGUGGCGAGCGUUAUCCGAAUUUACUGGGCGUAAAGGGCGUGUAGGAGGCUAGAUAAGUGUGAUGUUUAAAUCCAAGGCUUAACCUUGGGGUUCAUUACAAACUGUUUAGCUUUAGUGCUGGGGAGGAUAGUGGUAUUCCUAGUGUAGCGGUAAGAUGCGUGGAUAUUCGGAGGAACACCGGUGGCGGAGGCGGCUAUCUGGACAGUAUCUGACGCUGAGGCGCGAAAGCGUGGGGAGCAAACAGG
RNAcentral lists this ribosomal RNA (406 nucleotides) under Verrucomicrobiota bacterium. RNAcentral describes it as "Verrucomicrobia bacterium partial 16S ribosomal RNA". It matches the Rfam family "Bacterial small subunit ribosomal RNA", at positions 355 to 776 of the family's 1533-position model. The record is from RNAcentral. Lineage: Bacteria; Pseudomonadati; Verrucomicrobiota.